GGGGAAUGCCAUGGCUGAUGGGGAAAGCUUGACUUAGGAACCAAGGGCACGGACUUGGCACAGAGCCGGGAUGAGAUACUGGAGCGCAGCCCAUGAGUUGGGAGUGGAGGAAAGGAAAAGCUGCAGCUUGGCUUCUUCUCUCUGACCACUAGCCAGCUCCAUAUCUCAGGAUGGAUCCAGCAGGAACAUGGGAGCUGACAUGCAAGAAGCCCCAGUGCUCUGCCAAGGCCACACAGGUCAGGGGAAAAGUGUGACUUUGCCAAAUUCGCAAAGCGCCGCGGACGUGGCUGGCCUGGCAAUGACUCAGGGGUGAGUAGCUGCAAGAACCUCCAAGGCCAGACUUUGGAGGCGUUUUGCUAUCUAAAGAAAGCAGUAAGGUGUUAAAUGCUGAAGAGCUUUAAAAACCUAUGUGCCGGUCUUCCUUACCAGCACCUGUGGCUGCUGGGGAGUGUGUAAGUUUGAAGGGAUUCAAUCAGUCACAAGUGGAUAAUUUUGUGUUUUC
This 502-nucleotide long non-coding RNA is filed under the name Struthio camelus australis. RNAcentral describes it as "lncRNA (ENSSCUG00000000297.1)". Lineage: Eukaryota; Metazoa; Chordata; Aves; Struthioniformes; Struthionidae. The record is from RNAcentral.